RNAcentral lists this long non-coding RNA (1029 nucleotides) under Strigops habroptila (Kakapo). RNAcentral's name for it is "lncRNA (ENSSHBG00005009000.1)". The record is from RNAcentral. Lineage: Eukaryota; Metazoa; Chordata; Aves; Psittaciformes; Psittacidae.
AUCUCCAGCUGGGAAGCGGCGCGGAGCGGAGCUGCUUCCUCGCCUCACCGCGGCUCCCCGCACCGCGACGGGACGGGCACACGGGCGGGCGGGCACGCCGGCAGCGGCAAGAAGAGCCAGCGGGGGCACCCGGCAUCGCUCCGCGGGGGUGAACCUGAAUCUGCCUCGCAGCGCCGAAGCCAGCGGAGAGAGCCGCUCCCCCCUUCCUCGUCCUCCUCGUCCCUUCCCAAUCCACCCCCGCGACCCUGGUCCUCCUCCUCCUCCUCCUCACCCCACUGGAUACAGCGAGGGAGACACUGCGGCGGAGGCGGCGGCGGCGGCGGCUCCUGCGGGGGGAAGGAAGCGCCCGGAGAGCGGAGCGGCGGGAGGCUGCGGAUCUGCGUGCCUGGCGCCCACCCAGCCCGAGGGGAGCCCCCAGGAUGCGGCUGAAGCCCGGCGCGCUCCUGCGCUUCUACAGCCUCUGCGGGAUCCUCGUACAAGGUGAGUAACUGAAGGUUAACAGAAUUCGUGGUUGUCAAGUAUGCUUAAUGCUUUUCUAUAGUAUGCUGUGGGUAAGUAAGUGACAUUCUACUUUUUAAAAAAAUCAUAGUUAAAAGAGCACAUAAGCAGAAAUGAAUAAUUGGUAAUAACUUCUGCAAUUGUGUUUUAAUAAUUGUCAUAAUUGGCUAUUAUAUUAACUGUAAAAAACUACAACAGGUUUGAAAAGGUAUUUUAUAUGGAGAAGCUUGGAUGGUAGGUGUUACUUGGUUUCAUAGAAUUUUGUGACUUUCUGUCCUUUUGUCAUUUAGAUUAUAUACUUAGAGUUGAAAGCUUUGAGAGUUUGUAGGUGUGAAAAUGUUUUGGUUUCUAAAGGGGUAAGUGUACAUGACAGUAAACUAAAACUCGCAGUUCUACAAAUGAAUUUAAGAAAUUAUUUCACAGAUUGAGAAAACUGCUUUCUGUUUGUGGCUACUACAUUUACAAAUAAAUGUUGUAUUUUCAAUUUUGUUAAUGGAGUUCUUUGGUUCUGCAGAAGUUGUUAGGAAAAAA